Molecule: ribosomal RNA, 923 nt
Filed under: uncultured bacterium
Lineage: Bacteria
Description: bacterial SSU rRNA
Rfam family: Bacterial small subunit ribosomal RNA
Source: RNAcentral
AGAGUUUGAUCAUGGCUCAGGACGAACGCUGGCGGCGCGCCUAACACAUGCAAGUCGAGCGAGAACCAGGGCUUCGGCCCUGGGGACAGCGGCGAACGGGUGAGUAACACGUGGAUAACCUGCCCUCGGCACCGGAAUAGCCCGGGGAAACCCGGAUUAAUGCCGGAUAGCCCCACAUCCCUGCGGGGAACGUGGGAAAAGGUAGCUUCGGCCUCUGGCCGAGGAUGGGUCCGCGGUGGAUUAGCUUGUUGGCGGGGUAACGGCCCACCAAGGCGACGAUCCAUAGCUGGUCUGAGAGGACGAUCAGCCACACUGGGACUGAGACACGGCCCAGACUCCUACGGGAGGCAGCAGUGGGGAAUCUUGCGCAAUGGGCGAAAGCCUGACGCAGCGACGCCGCGUGCGGGAAGAAGGCCUUCGGGUUGUAAACCGCUUUCAGGAGGGACGAAGCCACUCGGGUGAAUAGCCCAGAGGGUGACGGUACCUCCAGAAGAAGCCCCGGCUAACUACGUGCCAGCAGCCGCGGUAAUACGUAGGGGGCAAGCGUUGUCCGGAUUCAUUGGGCGUAAAGAGCGUGUAGGCGGCCAGGUAGGUCGGUUGUGAAAACUGGAGGCUCAACCUUCAGACGUCGACCGAAACCAUCUGGCUAGAGUCCGGGAGAGGAGAGUGGAAUUCCUGGUGUAGCGGUGAAAUGCGCAGAUAUCAGGAAGAACACCCGUGGCGAAAGCGGCUCUCUGGAACGGUACUGACGCUGAGACGCGAAAGCGUGGGGAGCGAACAGGAUUAGAUACCCUGGUAGUCCACGCCGUAAACGAUGGGCGCUAGGUGUGGGAGGUGUCGACUCCUUCCGUGCCGCAGCUAACGCAUUAAGCGCCCCGCCUGGGGAGUACGGCCGCAAGGCUAAAACUCAAAUGAAUUGACGG